GACGAACGCUGGCGGCGUGCUUAACACAUGCAAGUCGAACGGAAAGGCCCUGCUUUUGUGGGGUGCUCGAGUGGCGAACGGGUGAGUAACACGUGAGUAACCUGCCCUUGACUUUGGGAUAACUUCAGGAAACUGGGGCUAAUACCGGAUAGGAGCUCCUGCUGCAUGGUGGGGGUUGGAAAGUUUCGGCGGUUGGGGAUGGACUCGCGGCUUAUCAGCUUGUUGGUGGGGUAGUGGCUUACCAAGGCUUUGACGGGUAGCCGGCCUGAGAGGGUGACCGGCCACAUUGGGACUGAGAUACGGCCCAGACUCCUACGGGAGGCAGCAGUGGGGAAUAUUGCACAAUGGGCGGAAGCCUGAUGCAGCAACGCCGCGUGCGGGAUGACGGCCUUCGGGUUGUAAACCGCUUUCGCCUGUGACGAAGCAUGAGUGACGGUAAUGGGUAAAGAAGCACCGGCUAAUUACGUG
This 468-nucleotide ribosomal RNA is filed under the name uncultured bacterium. RNAcentral describes it as "partial 16S ribosomal RNA". It matches the Rfam family "Bacterial small subunit ribosomal RNA", at positions 28 to 507 of the family's 1533-position model. The record is from RNAcentral.